Molecule: ribosomal RNA, 440 nt
Filed under: uncultured bacterium
Lineage: Bacteria
Description: partial 16S ribosomal RNA
Rfam family: Bacterial small subunit ribosomal RNA
Source: RNAcentral
CCUACGGGAGGCUGCAGUAGGGAAUCUUUCACAAUGGGCGAAAGCCUGAUGGAGCAACGCCGCGUGCAGGAUGAAGGCCUUCGGGUUGUAAACUGCUUUUAUAAGCGAGAAAUAUGAUGGUAACUUAUGAAUAAGGAUCGGCUAACUACGUGCCAGCAGCCGCGGUAAUACGUAGGUGGCAAGCGUUGUCCGGAUUUACUGGGUGUAAAGGGCGUGCAGCCGGAGAGACAAGUCAGAUGUGAAAUCCACGGGCUCAACCCGUGAACUGCAUUUGAAACUGUUUCCCUUGAGUGUCGGAGAGGUAAUUGGAAUUCCUAGUGUAGCGGUGAAAUGCGUAGAUAUAAGGAAGAACACCAGUGGCGAAGGCGGAUUACUGGACGAUAACUGACGGUGAGGCGCGAAAGCGUGGGGAGCAAACAGGAUUAGAUACCCGAGUAGUC